This 427-nucleotide ribosomal RNA is filed under the name uncultured archaeon. RNAcentral's name for it is "bacterial SSU rRNA". It matches the Rfam family "Archaeal small subunit ribosomal RNA", at positions 474 to 903 of the family's 1478-position model. The record is from RNAcentral.
UACCAGCUCUCCGAGUGGUAGGGAUGAUUAUUGGGCUUAAAGCGUCCGUAGCCGGCUUAGCAAGUCUCCUGUUAAAUUCAGCGACCUAAUCGUUGAGCCGCGGGAGACACUACUAGGCUAGGAGGCGGGAGAGGCCGACGGUAUUCUCGGGGUAGGGGUGAAAUCCUAUAAUCCCGGGAGGACCACCAGUGGCGAAGGCUGUCGGCUAGAACGCGCUCGACGGUGAGGGACGAAAGCUGGGGGAGCGAACCGGAUUAGAUACCCGGGUAGUCCCAGCUGUAAACGAUGCGGGCUAGGUGUUGGGGUGGCUACGAGCCACUUCAGUGCCGCAGGGAAGCCAUUAAGCCCGCCGCCUGGGGAGUACGGCCGCAAGGCUGAAGCUUAAAGGAUUGGCGGGGAGCACCACAAGGCGUGAAGCUUGCGGUUC